This 881-nucleotide ribosomal RNA is filed under the name uncultured bacterium. RNAcentral's name for it is "bacterial SSU rRNA". It matches the Rfam family "Bacterial small subunit ribosomal RNA", at positions 8 to 909 of the family's 1533-position model. The record is from RNAcentral.
AGAGUUUGAUCAUGGCUCAGGAUGAACGCUGGCGGCGUGCCUAACACAUGCAAGUCGAGCGAGAAGGAGGAAGCUUGCUUCCAAAUUCUAGCGGCGGACGGGUGAGUAACGCGUGGGCAACCUACCCUGUACAGGGGGAUAACAAUGGGAAACCAUUGCUAAUACCCCAUAAUACCUUCUAGGGGCAUCCCUUAAAGGUCAAAGAAUUUCGGUACAGGAUGGGCCCGCGUCUGAUUAGCUAGUUGGUGAGGUAAUGGCUCACCAAGGCGACGAUCAGUAGCCGGCCUGAGAGGGUGAACGGCCACACUGGAACUGAGACACGGUCCAGACUCCUACGGGAGGCAGCAGUGGGGAAUAUUGCACAAUGGGCGAAAGCCUGAUGCAGCAACGCCGCGUGAGCGAUGAAGGCUUUCGGGUCGUAAAGCUCUGUCCUAAGGGAAGAUAAUGACGGUACCUUAGGAGGAAGCCCCGGCUAACUACGUGCCAGCAGCCGCGGUAAUACGUAGGGGGCAAGCGUUAUCCGGAAUCAUUGGGCGUAAAGGGUGCGUAGGCGGCCCUGUGGGUCAGAGGUUAAAGGCUACGGCUCAGCCGUAGUAAGCCUUUGAAACUGCAGGGCUUGAGUACAGGAGAGGAGAGUGGAAUUCCUAGUGUAGCGGUGAAAUGCGUAGAUAUUAGGAGGAACACCAGUGGCGAAGGCGACUCUCUGGACUGUAACUGACGCUGAGGCACGAAAGCGUGGGGAGCGAACAGGAUUAGAUACCCUGGUAGUCCACGCCGUAAACGAUGAGUGCUAGUGUCGGGGGGUCGAACCUCGGUGCCGCAGUUAACGCAUUAAGCACUCCGCCUGGGGAGUACGUUCGCAAGAAUGAAACUCAAUGAAA